This is a long non-coding RNA of Nyctereutes procyonoides (raccoon dog), 225 nucleotides long. RefSeq lists it as uncharacterized. NCBI's taxonomy places the organism in Eukaryota, Metazoa, Chordata, Mammalia, Carnivora, Canidae. The record is from RefSeq and is a predicted model, not a curated record. The transcript is spliced from 4 exons.
GAAGGAUUCACCGGCGAGGUGCAGGCCACAGAGGCAACAACCGCUCCCUCCUCGGGGCAGGGCCCCGGCUCCGGUGCCAGGAUCUCCCCGGACUUAUUUUCAGGCAAUGAAGUGGCCCGCCUCCUGCAGGACCACAUGUGGGCCCAGAGAUGAAGGCAGAACUUCCUCUUCCCUGGCUUGUACAGGAGCCAAUACACAGGAGGAGCUGCAGAAUGGAAACCAGAG